This is a long non-coding RNA of Mirounga angustirostris (Northern elephant seal), 1719 nucleotides long. RefSeq lists it as uncharacterized. The transcript has 8 exons. The record is from RefSeq and is a predicted model, not a curated record. Lineage: Eukaryota; Metazoa; Chordata; Mammalia; Carnivora; Phocidae.
GGGGAGGGGGGGCCAGCAGCACUCCCCAGCCUUCUCAUUCUUCUGCUCCCUUAGGAGUCCCGUUUUGGCUAAAGUGGGAGAAAGGCUCUGUCCUUAGCAAUGAGGUUCUUCCUCUGUCCAUGCGCAAAGCCCUGUGUCCCUGCCCCCAGAGGCCCAGAGCAGUGGGCCAGAACCUGGGCCUGAAAGCUGUUCACGGCCUCCAGUGACCCAAUCUUCCCAUGGCUCACUGACCGCACUUCAAAUUCUUUGCCCUUCCUCCUCACCCCUGCUAGCCAUACUCCUCUGAUCACUCACACCUCAUUCACAUUCCCAGACAAGGCUCACUCUCACCCCUUCGCUUGGAUGGACCACUGACUCCCCCUUUGGUGGGGCACCUAAUGAGGUGACCAGCAGGAAGCCCACAUGCCUUGGAGGACUUUAGGGAGCCUGCCAGCAGUCCUUUUCCCGCCGAGCCUCGGCCCACAGACCUGGCCAGCCAGGAUGGGGAGGCUGCCCAGGACCCGGGUGUUGGAACAGUGACACCAAGAGCUACCAGGCCAAUAGCAGCCUGACGCUGGGUCACGUCGCAAGCCCAACGUCAGGACGCAACACCUGGCCGUGGGCCUCACCUCAUCUCCUCGCAAGGCAUUUUAUCGGCUCGCGGCAUCACCAGAAGGAAAAGGGUGUUUUCCAGACCUGGGUCAGAGCGGGUUUCAGUUCAUGGAUAAGCCAGAGCCAUGGCUUCCUUUCCAUCUCUGGGAAUGCAGCCCUUCUCUGGGGGAGGUGGUUCUUACCCGUCCGCCUAAGGACACCACGUGCAGUGCUGAACACCAGGAUCACAGAGAUGGAAAAGGAGAAGACUCUGUUAUACUGCCUGAUGAGAGAGACCGCUGCUUAAACAGGGCCAGAGAGCAAAAGGUACCUGUGGUCAUCGAAGUAUCUGCCAUUUGGGAGCAGGAGUUGGCCGAAGAAUGGAAACAAAACAACAUAGGAAACUGCAUGAAGCUUCGAAACAUUUCAUCAUGAGAAGUGUUGUAAUAGGGCGGAAAUUCCUGGAGAAGAAUGAAGCACGAAAGAAAUAAGAGCCAGAGUGGUAGAAAAAAGCAGAACCAGACACAGAGAUGGAGAGACCGCAGGGAGUCCCCUUUGAAGACAUCUGCCUCCAGGCCCAAGCGGUCUCAGGCCCAGACCCUGACUACCUUCGCAGCCCCGCAGGCGCCCCCUCCCCCGCGCUCCCCCGGACUCUGGCCGGGUCGCUCCUUCUCCCACCCCAGCCGCGCGAGCUUGGUCGGUGCGCCGGGGCCUGCUCCGGUUCCAGAACCAUCUUUGGACGAUACUCACCCGUUAUCCAGCAAUUUUCACACCGGGCUAACCGGAGGGGUAAGGGACUGAUCUGCAGAGACGUGACAAGGAGACAGGGCAGUCAGCCUGCAGAUUCGAUUCUCCACUUCAUGUGGCCCACAAACAGGUGCUUGGUAAUGUCUGCUUGAUGGAUGGAUGGACAAGAUACAUGACUGUGGGGUGAGGAAGGCAAUCUUAGCACACUCCUCAACAAGACAAAGAGUAGCUUAACAGUGAAUCAAAUCACAGCUUUCCUAUGUUGUUUACCCAACUCAUUGGCCAGCUCGAGCUGUUUACCUGGGAACUGUAUAAUCCAGUACUUACAGCUGCAGGCCAAACACAUUCCAGACUAAAGUUCCGCCCCCUUCACGGCACCUACUCUUACCACCACCCCUCCCG